Molecule: unclassified non-coding RNA, 273 nt
Filed under: Hevea brasiliensis (rubber tree)
Lineage: Eukaryota; Viridiplantae; Streptophyta; Magnoliopsida; Malpighiales; Euphorbiaceae
Source: RNAcentral
GUGUCGGCCUUCUCGACUUCGCCCUUCGCCAGAUGCUCCAGCAAAUCCUUGUGCGACUUGACGUGCCGUUCGAGAUUCAUCGACACGAAGGCGGUGACCUGAAUGAAGCCGGGAUAGACCUUGCGGAAGGCGCCCUUGCACUGCAUCGGCACGUAGUUGAUCAGAUUGUCCUCGAACCACUUCAGCGGCUUCGAGGUUGCGAAUUCGUUGACCUUGGUUGGCGCAAUGCGCGUAUCGAUCGGUCCUGCCAUCAAGGUGAGGCUCGCCGGGCGC